Molecule: long non-coding RNA, 277 nt
Organism: Gadus macrocephalus (Pacific cod)
Lineage: Eukaryota; Metazoa; Chordata; Actinopteri; Gadiformes; Gadidae
Exons: 4
Source: RefSeq, a predicted model, not a curated record
AGCUGACCCCUGACCCCCAGCUGCCCCUACUUCCUGCCCCCUCGCUGCGUCCCUUCCUGGACUCUGAUUGGUCGUCGUGAUGCUCUAGCGGUCUGGUGGUAGAAACCUCUCCAUCACUGGAGGAAGAACCUCCUCUAAGGUUCAGCCAAACGUCCAGCAGCUGGUUCUGACACCAGCUCUGAGAUCCCUGAGGGACAGAAACAUCUUCUGGCCCCGACCCCUGACCCCAAGAGCUGAAUGAUGAAGAGGCUUCUCGUUGGAGGAUUGAUCAUCAUUC